Molecule: ribosomal RNA, 253 nt
Filed under: uncultured bacterium
Lineage: Bacteria
Description: partial 16S ribosomal RNA
Rfam family: Bacterial small subunit ribosomal RNA
Source: RNAcentral
UACAGAGGUCUCAAGCGUUGUUCGGAUUCAUUGGGCGUAAAGGGUGCGUAGGCGGCGCGGUAAGUCGGGUGUGAAAUCUCGGGGCUUAACUCCGAAACUGCAUUCGAUACUGCCGUGCUUGAGGACUGGAGAGGAGACUGGAAUUUACGGUGUAGCGGUGAAAUGCGUAGAUAUCGAGAGGAACACCGGUGGCGAAGGCGGCCAACUGGACGAAUACUGACGCUGAGACUCGAAAGCGUGGGGAGCAAACAGG